Molecule: ribosomal RNA, 496 nt
Filed under: uncultured bacterium
Lineage: Bacteria
Description: partial 16S ribosomal RNA
Rfam family: Bacterial small subunit ribosomal RNA
Source: RNAcentral
GAUGAACGCUGGCGGCGUGCCUAAUACAUGCAAGUCGAGCGAACGGACGAGAAGCUUGCUUCUCUGAUGUUAGCGGCGGACGGGUGAGUAACACGUGGAUAACCUACCUAUAGACUGGGAUAACUUCGGGAAACCGGAGCUAAUACCGGAUGAUAUUUUGAACCGCAUGGUUCAAAAGUGAAAGACAGUCUUGCUGUCACUUAUAGAUGGAUCCGCGCUGCAUUAGCUAGUUGGUAAGGUAACGGCUUACCAAGGCAACGAUGCAUAGCCGACCUGAGAGGGUGAUCGGCCACACUGGAACUGAGACACGGUGCAGACUCCUACGGGAGGCAGCAGUAGGGAAUCUUCCGCAAUGGGCGAAAGCCUGACGGAGCAACGCCGCGUGAGUGAUGAAGGUCUUCGGAUCGUAAAACUCUGUUAUUAGGGAAGAACAUAUGUGUAAGUAACUGUGCACAUCUUGACGGUACCUAAUCAGAAAGCCACGGCUAACUACGUG